UGAGGAAUAUUGGUCAAUGGGCGCAAGCCUGAACCAGCCAUCCCGCGUGCAGGAAGACGGCGCUAUGCGUUGUAAACUGCUUUUCCAGGGGGAGAAACUUGCGCACGUGUUGCGCAAUUGACGGUACCCUGGGAAUAAGCAUCGGCUAACUCCGUGCCAGCAGCCGCGGUAAUACGGAGGAUGCGAGCGUUAUCCGGAUUCAUUGGGUUUGAAGGGUGCGUAGGCGGACUAUUAAGUCAGUGGUGAAAUCCUGCAGCUUAACUGCAGAACUGCCAUUGAUACUGAUAGCCUUGAGUUUGGUUAAGGUAGACGGAAUGUGUAAUGUAGCGGUGAAAUGCUUAGAUAUUACACAGAACACCAAUUGCGUAGGCAGCUUACUGAGCCGACACUGACGCUGAGGCACGAAAGCGUGGGGAUCGAACAG
RNAcentral lists this ribosomal RNA (424 nucleotides) under uncultured bacterium. RNAcentral's name for it is "bacterial SSU rRNA". It matches the Rfam family "Bacterial small subunit ribosomal RNA", at positions 355 to 775 of the family's 1533-position model. The record is from RNAcentral.